RNAcentral lists this transfer RNA (73 nucleotides) under Camelus bactrianus (Bactrian camel). It matches the Rfam family "tRNA". From Rfam's summary of the family: Transfer RNA (tRNA) molecules are approximately 80 nucleotides in length. Their secondary structure includes four short double-helical elements and three loops (D, anti-codon, and T loops). The record is from Rfam by way of RNAcentral. RNAcentral also lists the same sequence under 2 other names. Lineage: Eukaryota; Metazoa; Chordata; Mammalia; Artiodactyla; Camelidae.
GAGGGUAUAGCUCAGUGGUAAGAGUGUGUGCUUAGCAUGCGCAAGGUCCUGGGUUCAAGGCCCAGUACCUCCA